This 6508-nucleotide long non-coding RNA is filed under the name Taeniopygia guttata (zebra finch). Its description in RNAcentral is "lncRNA (ENSTGUG00000022007.1)". The record is from RNAcentral. Lineage: Eukaryota; Metazoa; Chordata; Aves; Passeriformes; Estrildidae.
UUAUUCAACAAACAAAGCACUCCCCAGCACCAAAACAAUUAACGACACUAGAUGACAACAAAACUCUUUCACCCCUCUGAAGAGAUGAACAAAUCCAGAAGGUCUUUCCUGGGAGUGGUCGCCCGGGUCUGGACGCUGGGGAUUGCUCUCCAGCACUGGGGAUGGCUGCUGCAGAUCACCAAAUGCAGGCUCCUGGUGUUCCUUGGUGUUUCCUAGAUCCCAGUCCAGAGCAGGUUGGAUGAUAUUCAGAAAGAGGAAAGGAAAAAAGCAACAGUCCAGGGAAAGAAUUGGACUGCUUAACCUAACUAGGAAGCAAAGCAAGAAAGCAGGUAAAGCAAGCAAGCCAAGCAAGCAGCAAGCAAAGCAAAAGCCAGUCAGCCAGCCCUAGCCUUUUCUAGACAGCAGACCAUGGGGGGAGGUGAACCAGAUGAUAACGCGGCAAAACAAACCUUCACUUUCAGAGUCAGUUCUGAAAGCACAGAACAUAGUAUCAAACAUAAACAGAACACACGAUUGGAGAUACAAACACCAUAACAGUCACCCUAGGACAUUCCACCCCUUAUCUCCAUAUCUUCAACAUCAUGUAAAAACUCCAUCAAGUUAAAACUUGUAUCUUUCACUUACUCAUACCUUCGACACUUACACAUUUCCUUCUAUUUCACUUGCUCAAACCUUUGACACUUACACAUUUCCUUCUAUUUCAUGUCUGUGUGCUUUCAUGCACAGACAUUGGCAGUAACAUCCAGCAAACAGUGAUAUUUGCACAAUAGUUUCACCCCACAAUCAGAUCUCCCUGAGGUACACAUCGUGUUGUUCCAUCUCUCUGCAUUAUCCACCAUGUACAACCUGGUCCCUGAGCAAAGACAAUCCCACAAAUGGGUUUGUCUGUACUCGAGGCAGGAUUGAUCCACACUGAUUUCCCUAACAAACCUCUGACAUGUGCCACUGGGACUUUAUCUCCGUCUACUAUAUUCAGGGGCUCAGACUGGGCAGGACCUGCUCGAUUGGUGGAACCUCGGCUGUUAACUAACCAGGUGGCCUUUGCUAAAUGUUGCUCCCAAUUUUUGAAAGAUCCCCCACCCAAUGCUUUUAAGGUGGUUUUUAACAGUCCAUUGUACCUCUCCACUUUGCCUGCAGCUGGUGCAUGGUAGGGGAUGUGGUACACCCACUCAAUGCCAUGUUCCCUAGCCCAGGUGUUGAUAAGGUUGUUCUUGAAAUGAGUCCCAUUGUCUGACUCAAUCCUCUCAGGGGUACCAUGCCUCCAAAGGACCUGCUUUUCAAGGCCCAGGAUGGUGUUACGGGCUGUAGCAUGAGACACAGGGUAGUUUUCCAACCAUCCAGUGGUGGCUUCUACCAUUGUGAGCACGUAGCGCUUGCCUUGGCGUGUCUGGGGCAGUGUGAUGUAAUCAAUCUGCCAGGCCUCCCCAUACUUGUACUUGGACCACCGCCCACCAUACCACAGGGGCUUCACCCGCUUGGCCUGUUUGAUGGUAGCGCAUGUCUCACAGUCAUGGAUAACCUGAGAAAUACUGUCCAUGGUUAGAUCCACCCCUCGGUCUCGUGCCCCCUUAUAAGUGGCAUCUCUACCCUGAUGGCCUGAGGCAUCAUGGGCCCAUCGUGCUAGGAACAACUCUCCCUUGUGUUCCCAGUCGAGGUCUAUCUUUGAUACCCCUAUCUUCGCAGCCUGAUCUACCUGCUGAUUGUUUUGCUGCUCUUCAUUAGCUCUGCUUCUGGGGACAUGGGCAUCUACAUGGCGAACCUUCACAGGUAGCUUCUCUACCCGGGUAGCGAUAUCUUUCCACUCUUCAGCAGCCCAAAUUGGUUUUCCUCUACGCUGCCAGUUAGCUUCUUUCCACCUCUCUAGCCACCCCCACAGAGCAUUGGCUACCAUCCAUGAAUCAGUGUAGAGGUAGAGCUUUGGCCACCUCUCCCUUUCUGCAAUGUCUAGGGCCAGUUGAACGGCUUUGAGUUCAGCAAACUGGCUUGAUCCACCUUCUCCUUCAGUGGCCUCUGCAACCCAUCGUGUGGGACUCCAUACAGCUGCUUUCCACUUCCGAUUCAUCCCUACGAUGCGACAGGAACCGUCAGUGAAGAGAGCAUAGCGUGUUUCCUCUGCUCGCAGUUGGUUGUAUGGUGGAGCUUCUUCAGCCCGUGUCACUGGUUCUUCUUCUUCAUCUGCGACACCAAAACUUUCACCUUCGGGCCAAUUUGUAAUUACUUCCAAAAUCCCAGGGCGAUUCAGCUUACCAAUAUGGGCACGCUGCGUAAUGAGAGCAAUCCACUUGCUCCAUGUAGCACUGGUGGCAUGGUGGGUGGAGGGAACCUUUCCUCUGAACAUCCACCCCAGCACCGGUAGUCGGGGUGCCAGGAGGAGUUGUGCUUCUGUGCCAAUCACCUCUGAGGCGGCCUGGACUCCCUCGUAGGCGGCCAAGAUUUCCUUCUCUGUUGGGGUGUAGUUAGCUUCAGACCCUCUGUAGCUCCGACUCCAAAAUCCCAGUGGUCGGCCCCGAGUCUCAUCAGGCACCUUCUGCCAAAGGCUCCAGGACAGACCAUGGUUCCCGGCUGCAGAGUAGAGCACGUUCUUCACAUCUGGUCCUGUCCUGACUGGGCCAAGGGCUACUGCAUGAGCAAUUUCCUGCUUUAUCUGGGCAAAAGCUUGCUGCUGCUCAGGGCCCCAGCAGAAAUCAUUCUUCUUGCGGGUGACCAGGUAGAGGGGACUCACGAUCUGACUGUACUCAGGAAUAUGCAUUCUCCAAAAACCAAUGGCGCCUAAGAAAGCUUGUGUCUCUUUCUUGUUGGUUGGUGGGGACAUGGCUGUGAUCUUGUUGAUGACAUCUGUAGGAAUCUGACGCCGUCCAUCUUGCCACUUCACUCCCAAGAACUGGAUCUCUCGAGCAGGUCCCUUCACUUUACUCUUCUUGAUGGCGAAACCAGCUUCCAGGAGGAUUCGGAUGAUUUUCUCUCCUUUCUCAAACACUUCUGCUGCUGUGUUCCCCCACACAAUGAUAUCAUCAAUAUAUUGUAGAUGUUCUGGAGCCUCACCCUUUUCUAGUGCAGUCUGGAUCAGUCCAUGGCAGAUGGUAGGACUGUGCUUCCACCCCUGGGGCAGUCGGUUCCAGGUAUACUGCACUCCCCUCCAUGUAAAGGCAAACUGAGGCCUGCAUUCUGCUGCCAGAGGAAUGGAGAAAAAUGCAUUGGCAAUAUCAAUAGUGGCGUACCACUUCGCUGCCUUGGACUCCAGCUCGUACUGGAGUUCCAGCAUGUCUGGCACAGCAGCGCUCAGUGGUGGAGUCACUUCAUUCAAUGCACGGUAGUCCACAGUCAAUCUCCAUUCUCCUUCAGAUUUACGCACAGGCCAAAUGGGGCUGUUGAAGGGUGAGUGGGUUUUGCUGACCACCCCUUGGCUCUCCAGCUCUCGGAUCAUCUUAUGGAUGGGAACCACAGCAUCUCGAGUUGUUCUGUACUGUCGACGAUGCACUGUUGAAGUGGCAACUGGUACCUUUUGUUCUUCUCCCUUCAAAAGUCCUACUGUAGUUGGAUUCUCAGACAGUCCAGGCAAGGUGUUCAGUUGCUGGAUGCCCUCUGUCGCUACAGCUGCUAUCCCAAAUGCCCACUUGAGUCCCUUUGGGUCUUUAAAAUACCCCCUUCGAAGGUAAUCUAUGCCCAAAAUACAUGGGGCCUCUGGGCCAGUCACAAUAGGGUGUUUCUUCCACUCAUUUCCUGUCAGACUUACAUCAGCUUCCACCACGGUAAAGUCCUGUGAUCCACCUGUCACACCGGCGAUAGAGACAGAUUCUGCCCCUACGUGUCUCAAUGGAAUUAACGUGCAUUGUGCACCAGUAUCAACCAAAGCCUUAUAUCUUUGUGGGUCCGAUGUGCCAGGCCAGCGAAUCCACACAGUCCAGAAAACACGGUUUUCCCUCGCCUCUACCUGGCUAGAGGCAGGGCCCCUCUAAGCCUGGUUAUCCUUCUUGCCUUGGGCGUAUGUCUUAGAGGUUCCUUCAAGGGGGUCAGACAUGUCAUCAUCAUCAUCAUGCCUGGCAGUUUGGCUACGGGCAACUGGAGCUGCUCUCCUUUUGGUGGCACUUCCUCUCUGAGUCUUACCUUCCUUCAAUUCAUGCACCCGUUGUGCCAGAGCACCAGUAGGUUUUCUGUCCCAUUUCCUCAUGUUUUCUCCGCAAUCGCGCAGGAAGAACCACAGCUCAGUUCGUGGGGUGUACCUUCUCUCACCAUCUGAGGAACGUCUACGUUGGAUACCAGAACCUCUGAUCUGUACUGCUGAGAUUUGGAGAAGGUCCUCCUUUAUCUCCUCCCUGAGUCUCUUAUGAUUCUCCUCUAUCUUAUCUUCUAAUUUCUGCAGACGUGUUUCCACUGCUGCAAUUCUGGCAUGGGUUGGGCUAUGUACAGCAUCUGCAUAUGCUCGGAGUUUCCUUGCCAUUUCGAGCACGGUCUCAUCCCUCUCAUCUUGCUUCAUUAUUGCUAAGGCAGAAGCGUAGUCAUGUGGCCCAAGCUGUACAAGUUUUCGCCACAUCACAGAUGUACAUGGUACCAAGUCUGGAUUCCUAGUUGUUAUUUCAUCUGAGAAGAUAAUCUCUGCCACUGCCAUUUCUCUCAGACAUUGGAUCCCUUGUUCUAUAGUCUUCCACUGGGUUUGCUGCAUAUAAAGAUCAUCUGCACACAGGUAUCUUUGUGCUACACUUUCCAGAACCUGUGCCCAGAGGCUGUGAGGGUUAGCCCCCCUCAUCAUUCCUUGAUCAAUGACAGGAUCAUGUGACAGGGAUCCCAAAUGUCUUGCCUCAGUACCAUCCAGAAUUGUAGCCUCGCCUGCUGCAUCCCAAAGACGGACCAACCAACUAAUUACAGACUCAUCAGGUCGUCGGGUAUAAUCCUUCCUCAGGCCACGAAGGUCCUUUAGGGAAAAGGACUCAGUAUUGGCCUCCGAUCUUGUACCAGUUGCUUUGACUUCUGAUUUUAUGUCAGCAGGCAUUGAGGGUCCCUCUCCUGCAUUAUCAUCAUCAUCGUCAUCAUCCACUGGUCGAUUGGUCUUUUCUGUGCGCUUCCCACUUCUUGUGCUAGUAGCAACAGCCAUUGGUUGAGGCUUGGCUGAUGAGUCUGGUUUAGCUGCUAGCCUAGGCUCACUGUCUUGUUUAGCUGCUGGCUUUGAGCCGGGGGUGUUUGCUGCAGCCUGAGUGACUGGGAUAGCUGCUGAUUUAUCUCCCUGCCCCCCUUCCUCUGUCUGCUGCCCUACAGUAUCUAGCAGGGUGCGAUAAGCAUAUGCCAGGGCCCAGCUCACUGCAAUGAUCUUUUUCUCCUUAGAGUUAUCAUGGCACUUCUCUUUCAAGUACUUCGCCACCUCAGCCGGAUUCUGAAUUUGUUCACUAGGAAAGUCCCAGGCUAUAGGGUCAGAAAAUUCCUUUAAGAUUUGGCCCAUAUCCUCCCAUUUCCCACACCACUCAGGAUUUCUCACACCUGGGUCUACUCCUGGGUCAGAGGUCUCAUCAGCCCCUCUAGAAAUUUCAGCCCUCAUGCUAGAGAGACUGCAGACUGUAUAGAGAAAGCUUACCAGAUUAAAGACCAGGAAGAUGGUCUCCUUAACAGUCAGGGGAAACUGAACAUUCUCUAAUAGGGAGGUAACAAAUUCAGAGGAGAAGAAGGAAAGCAAAGGCUGAAAAGCCUCAUCCCCUACUUCCCCUCUAACAAACUGGCUGUACAACCAUAACCAUGAACCAUACAUUCCAGGAACAGACCUCAGCACCUUUAUAAACCCUCUGGAAGCUAUUACACCCAAGCACAUCACGAUGGAUAUUCUGGUCAGUGCCCUUCUACUGCAAAACCUACGUAUUAGGGACAAUACUGGAGCUAUUCCUGGAUAAAAAAAUAAACCUAGGGACCAUAGGGGAAUUAAGAUCGCAAAAACCCCUAGGGACCAGAGACACAUGCAGGCCUUCACCCCAAGAGACAAUAUUAAUUCAAACAACAUAACCAGUAACUGCUCCAUACCCAGACAAAAUAAUUGGAACAAAAAUAUGAUUACAACAGGGUUUUUUCCACUCUCUCGAGCCCCACGUUGGGCGCCAAAAUAUUUGUCCUAGUUUAGGGCAAAUUUGGGGAAAACCCUCUGAAGGGAGCCCCCAGGAAAUAAACCCCCACGGCCCCUCCCCACCCACCUGGUUCAGGGAAAAAUUUCCUCUGAGAGGGAAGUGGAAAAGAACCUGUUUAUUCAACAAACAAAGCACUCCCCAGCACCAAAACAAUUAACAACACUAGAUGACAACAAAACUCUUUCACCCCUCUGAAGAGAUGAACAAAUCCAGAAGGUCUUUCCUAGGAGUGGUCGCCCGGGUCUGGACGCUGGGGAUGGCUGCUGCAGAUCACCAAAUGCAGGCUCCUGGUGUUCCUUGGUGUUUCCCAGAUCCCAGUCCAGAGCAGGUUGGAUGAUAUUCAGAAAGAGGAAAGGAAAAAAGCAACAGUCCAGGGAAAGAAUUGGACUGCUUAACCUAACUAGGAA